AUUUACAUACAUGUAAGCCUCAAUAUCCAAAAGGCACCAGAUCCCGUCUGGUCUUAGAAGCUAAGCAGGUUCAGCUUUGGUUCAUACUUGCAUGAGAGAACACCAAUGAAUACUAGGGUUUGUAAGGC
Molecule: non-coding RNA, 128 nt
Organism: Anolis carolinensis (green anole)
Lineage: Eukaryota; Metazoa; Chordata; Lepidosauria; Squamata; Anolidae
Source: Rfam